CCCUAGUAACUGCGAGUGAAGCGGGAAAAGCUCAAAUUUAAAAUCUGGUGGUCUUUGGCCAUCCGAGUUGUAAUCUAGAGAAGUGUUACCCGCGUCGGACCGUGUAUAAGUCUCCUGGAAUGGAGCGUCAUAGAGGGUGAGAAUCCCGUCUUUGACACGGACUACCGAGGCAUUGUGGUGCGCUCUCAACGAGUCGAGUUGUUUGGGAAUGCAGCUCAAAAUGGGUGGUAAAUUCCAUCUAAAGCUAAAUAUUGGCGAGAGACCGAUAGCGAACAAGUACCGUGAGGGAAAGAUGAAAAGAACUUUGGAAAGAGAGUUAAACAGUACGUGAAAUUGCUGAAAGGGAAACGCUUGAAGUCAGUCGCGUUGGCCGGAAAUCAGCCUUGCUUUUGCUUGGUGUACUUUCUGGUUGACGGGCCAGCAUCAGUUUUGACCGGUGGAAAAAGUUCAAGGGAAUGUGGCAUCUUCGGAUGUGUUAUAGCCCUUGUUCGUAUACAUCGGUUGGGACUGAGGAACUCAGCACGCCGAAAGGCCGGGUCUUUGACCACGUUCGUGCUUAGGAUGCUGGCAUAAUGGCUUUAAUCGACCCGUCUUGAAACACGGACCAAGGAGUCUAACAUGCCUGCGAGUGUUUGGGUGGAAAACCCGGACGCGCAAUGAAAGUGAAAGUUGAGAUCCCUGUCAUGGGGAGCAUCGACGCCCGGACCAGAAGUUCUCUGACGGCCCUGCGGUAGAGCAUGUAUGUUGGGACCCGAAAGAUGGUGAACUAUGCCUGAAUA
This 779-nucleotide ribosomal RNA is filed under the name Psathyrella potteri. RNAcentral's name for it is "LSU rRNA". It matches the Rfam family "Eukaryotic large subunit ribosomal RNA", at positions 78 to 843 of the family's 3401-position model. Lineage: Eukaryota; Fungi; Basidiomycota; Agaricomycetes; Agaricales; Psathyrellaceae. The record is from RNAcentral.